GCUUUUGUACACACCGCCCGUCGCUGCUACCGAUUGAAUGUUUUAGUGAGGUCCUCGGACUGGUAUGCAGCAUCGACCCCGUCAUUGCUGAUGCUAACGGAAAGAUGACCAAACUUGACCAUUUAGAGGAAGUAAAAGUCGUAACAAUGUUUCCGUAGGUGAACCUGCGGAAGGAUCAAUA
This 181-nucleotide ribosomal RNA is filed under the name Eumigus monticolus. RNAcentral describes it as "partial 18S ribosomal RNA". It matches the Rfam family "Eukaryotic small subunit ribosomal RNA", at positions 1656 to 1831 of the family's 1831-position model. Lineage: Eukaryota; Metazoa; Arthropoda; Insecta; Orthoptera; Pamphagidae. The record is from RNAcentral.